This is a long non-coding RNA of Nannospalax galili (Upper Galilee mountains blind mole rat), 574 nucleotides long. RefSeq lists it as uncharacterized. The transcript has 3 exons. The record is from RefSeq and is a predicted model, not a curated record. NCBI's taxonomy places the organism in Eukaryota, Metazoa, Chordata, Mammalia, Rodentia, Spalacidae.
CUCGGAUGUCACGCUGGCCGAGGCCUCCGGCAUAACGUGGCUGAAGUCACCACCGCAUGAGCUCAGGCUGAGGCACCUGGGGAUAGGUUCUGAGAGCUCAGAAUAGAAACCCUGGGUGAAGACAGAGCGUCCAGCUGGGCCCAGCAAGGAGACCAACCCAACAGGUCUCUAAUACCCCAUGAUGGCCAUCAGGCACUUCUCAGCCACUCCUCUGAACCUCAACUGCCUCAUCUCUAAAGCGAAACCAGGAGCCCCACUGGCCCCCAAGAACAUUGCAGAGCCAAGUAUUACCACUGUCAAGGAACAGAAAAAAAGCAGGGUGGUGCUUCCCAUCGCGUCCUCUUUCUGCCCUCCUGUUCAGCCUUGCAGAAGAUGGGUGGAUCUUGGAGGAUGACAUUGGCAUCAGAGUGAUGGAAUCAAACUAAAGCCCCCCAGGUUAAAGUGGAUUCAAACCAAGUCCCCCAGACCAAAGAAGAAUAUUCAGAACAAGGAAGUAAGAAGUAAAAUAAUUCUAACUGCUGAGAAAGAGCUGACCUUUUCAUGCUCCAUACACAAGCCGGACAUCACCCAAAAC